AACGAAGAGCACAAAGAAUAAUGCAGAGAAAUGAAUUUGUGACUUGGAAGCUAGAAUAUAGUAAAUCACAAAAUCAGGACAGCAGACAGAAAAAAAAGGAAAAACAUGAAAGCAAUAUGAGAUCUAUGGGAUAAUGUAAAGUGGGCCAAACUAUGCAUAAAAACCGGCCAAUCCAUAUAAUCCAGAAGAAGAAAAAGAAAAGGGGAUUGAUUUUUCUUUUGUUAAUGUGCUGUAUGGUGUUGAUUGAUUUGCGUAUGUUGAACCAUCCUUGUGAACCUUGGAUGAAUCCCACCUGGUCAUGGUGUACGAUCUUUUUGAUAUGUUGUUGGAUUCAGUUGGCUAAAAUUUUGUUGAGAAUUUUCGCAUCUAUAUUCAUAAAAGAUAUUGGCCAAUAGUUUUCUUUUUUGGUGGUAUCUUUGUCUGGUUUUCGAAUUAGGGUGAUGGUAGAAAAUGUCUUUGGGAGUGUUUCUUCUUCAACAUUUUGAAAAAGUUUAAGGAGGGUGGGCUCCAGUUCCUCCUUCUAUGUUUGGUAGAAUUCGCCUGUGAAGCCAUCUGGUCUUGGACUCUUAUUUGUAUGGAGUGAUUUUAUGACAUUGAAUUUCAUUUUUGGUGAUUGGUCUCUUCUGUUGAUCUAUUUCUUCUUGAUUCAGUUUUGGCAGGCUUUAAGACUCUAGAAAGUUGUCCAUUUCUUCCAGAUUGUCAAAUUUGUUGUCAUACAAAUGUCCAUAGUAUUCUCUUAUGGUUUCUGUAUUUCUGCAGUAUCCAUCAUGAUUUCUCCUUUUUCUCAUUUGUUAUUUUGUUUAUUUGGGUUCUUUUUCUCCUCUUCUCGUGAGUAUAGCCAGAGGUUUGUCAAUUUUGUUUACCUUUUCAAGGAACCACCUCUUGGUUUGAUUGAUUUUUUCUAUUAUUUUUUGAAUCUAUAUUUUAUUGAUUUCCUCUUUGAUCUUUAUGAUUUCAUGCCUUCUGCUGACUUUAGGGUUUUUUGUUGUUCUUCUUUUUCUAAUUCAUUUAGGUGGUGGGUUAAGUUGUCAUUUGAGAUCUUCUUUUCUGAGCAAGGCCUGUAUUGAUAUGAACUUCCCUCUGAGCAAUGCUUUUGCAGCAUCACCUAGAUUAUGAGAAGUUGUGUCUUCAUUACCAUUUGUCUUGAGGUAUUUUUUAAUUUCCUUCUUGAUUUCCUCAUUGACCCAUUGGUUUUUUGGUAGCAUGUUGUUUAGUCUCCUUGUAGUAGGUUUUUUCUCAUUUCUUUUCAUGUGGUUGAUUUCUAGAUUCAUGGCACUGUGGUCAGAGAAGAUACUUUAAAUAAUUUCUAUACUCAUAAAUUUGUUAGAGUUAGCUAUGUGCCCCAUUAUGUGACCAAUUCAUGAGAAUGCACACCUGAGAAAAUGUGUAUUCUGAUUUUUUUGUAUGUAAUGUCCUGAAAAUUACAAUUAAGUCAAAAGCAUGAUCAUCUCAAUAAAUGCAAGAAAGGCAUUUGACAAAGUCCAACAUCCGUUAGUGACCAAAACUCUCCAAAGUGGGUAAAAAGGGACCAUUCUUUAACAUAAUCAAAGCCAUUUAUGACAAACCCUCAGCAAAUAUAAUACUCAAUGCAGAAAAAACUAAAAGCCUUCCCUCCAAAAUCUGGAACAAGACAAGGAUGCCAAAUCUCACCACUGCUAUUCAACAUAGUAUUGUAAGUCCACAACAAUCAGAAAAACAAAAGAAAUAAAAGGCAUACAAAGAGGAAGAGAACACGUAAAACAGUCCCUGUAUGGAGAUGACAUGACACUAUAAAUAGAAAACUCUAAGGACUCAAUCAAAAAAUUACUUGAACUGAUCAAAAAAUUCAGCAAAGUAGCAGGAUAUAAGAUUAACAUUCAGAAAUCAGUUGCGUUUCUGUAUACUCUCAAUGCAACUUUAGAAAAGGAAUACAAAAUCACAAUAUCUCCUAAAAUUGCACACAAAAAAUCAAAUACCUGGGAAUACACCUGACCAAGGAGGCAAAGGACCUAUGUACCAAGAACUGUAAAACAUUAAUCAAGGAAAUUAAAGAAGAUGUAAAGAAAUGGAAAUAUAUUCCGUGUUCCUAGAUUGGAAAAAUUAAUUUCAUAAAAAUGAGCACAUGACCCAAAACAAUCUACAGAUUCAAUGCAAUCCCUAUUAAAUUACCCACUAGAUUUUUCACAGAACUAGAACAAACAAUCCAAACAUUUAUAUGGAACCACAAAAGACCCAGAAUUGCCAAAGCAUUCUGAGGAACAAAAAAACAUGCAGGAGGAAUAACUCUCCCAGACCUCAAGCAAUAUUACAGAGCCACAGUCAGCAAAAAAGUGUGGUACUGGGACCAAAACAGACAUACAGACCAAUUGAAGAGAAUAGAGAACCCAGAAAUAAACUCUGACACCUACAGUCAAUUAAUCUUUGAAGGAGUCAAGAACAUAAAAUUGGGAAAAGACAGUCUUUUCAGCAAAUAUUGCUGGGAAACCUGGACAGCUGCAUGCAAAGCAAUGAAACUAGAACACACCCUCACACCAUGAACCAAAAUAAACUCCAAAUGGCUGAAAGACUUAAAUAUAAGACAAGAUAUAAUCAAACUCCUAGAAGAGAACAUAGGCAAAACAUUCUCCGACAUCAAUGUCAUGGAUAUUUUCUCACGUCAGUCUCCCAAAGCAACAGAAAUAAGAGCAAAAAUAAACCAGUGGUUCCUAAUCAAACUGACAAGCUUUGCACAGCAAAGGAAACCAACAAGAAGACAAAAAGACAACUUAUAUAAUGGGAGAAAAUAGUUUCAAUAUAGUAUAAUUGACGGAAUCGUGGCCUAAAACUUUCCAAAUCUAAAGGAAACAGAUGUCAAGAUACAGAAAGCACAGAGAGCCCUAAACAUGUCGAUCCCACACAGGUCCAGAUCAAGACGUAUUAUAAUGAAAAUGGAAAUAGUUAAAGAUAAAAAGCUGAUUCUAAAGGCAGCAAGAGAAAAACCAAGUUAAUUACAGUUAUAACCCCCAUAAGGCUAUCAGUUAUUUUCUCUACAGAAACACUGAAUACCAGAGAGAGUGGCAAGAUAUAUUCAGGUUCCAAAAGGGAGAAUUUAUCAGCCUAGAAAACUCUACCCAGCAAGAAUAUCAUUUAAAAUUGAAGGAGAAAUAAAGAAUUUCUCUAACAAACAAAAAACUAAAAGAGUACAACAAUACUAAAUCCAUUCUAUAAGAUAUACUGAAAAGGAUCCUGAAAAUAAAAAAAAAUAGGAUGGAGAAAUUCACUUAAAUAGGCCAGUAUAAAUAUCUAAAAGAAAAAAAGUCUAUUGUAAAAGUUAUGAUAAACACAAGGAACAGCAAAAGGAUAAACUUGAAGAUGUUAAGAAAGGACUUCAAAAUCAUAUUAUGUGGGAAAGGAAAGUAAGAAAAUCUAGACUGUUUUUUAGAAUAUGAUUUAGCCUAUAUGACUAUCAGGCUAAAGCAAGCAGAUAUAGGAAGAGAUUAACAUACUUGAAAAACAGGGCAAACACAAAUCAAAACCAAAUAUUAUAUUCACAAAAAAACUAAAGUGAAAAGGACACAAGCAUAAAAUAAAAGGAAAUCAUCC
This 3561-nucleotide long non-coding RNA is filed under the name Sus scrofa (pig). RNAcentral describes it as "lncRNA (ENSSSCG00015016534.1)". Lineage: Eukaryota; Metazoa; Chordata; Mammalia; Artiodactyla; Suidae. The record is from RNAcentral.